This 1118-nucleotide ribosomal RNA is filed under the name fungal endophyte. RNAcentral describes it as "eukaryotic LSU rRNA". The stretch from base 539 to 1118 matches the Rfam family "Eukaryotic large subunit ribosomal RNA", at positions 1 to 591 of the family's 3401-position model. Lineage: Eukaryota; Fungi. The record is from RNAcentral.
UCUCCGUUGGUGAACCAGCGGAGGGAUCAUUACAGAGUUUUCUAACUCCCAAACCCAUGUGAACUUACCAUUGUUGCCUCGGCGGAGCCUACCCUGUAGCUACCCUGUAGGGUGGUUACCCUGUAGCGCCCCGCCGGCGGAUUUUCAAACUCUUGUUAUUUUUAGUAUUCUGAGAGUCUUAUUUUAAAUAAGUCAAAACUUUCAACAACGGAUCUCUUGGUUCUGGCAUCGAUGAAGAACGCAGCGAAAUGCGAUAAGUAAUGUGAAUUGCAGAAUUCAGUGAAUCAUCGAAUCUUUGAACGCACAUUGCGCCCAUUAGUAUUCUAGUGGGCAUGCCUGUUCGAGCGUCAUUUCAACCCUUAAGCUCAGCUUAGUGUUGGGAGACUAUGUGUGGGCCAAGCUACCCUGUAGCGUGGUUACCCUGUAGCUCCUGAAAAUCAACGGCGGAUUUACAGUAUCCUCUGAGCGUAGUAAUUUUUUAUCUCGCUUCUGUUUAGGUGCUGUAGGCCCUGCCGCUAAACCCCCAAUUUUUUGUGGUUGACCUCGGAUCAGGUAGGAAUACCCGCUGAACUUAAGCAUAUCAAUAAGCGGAGGAAAAGAAACCAACAGGGAUUCCCCUAGUAACGGCGAGUGAAGCGGGAACAGCUCAAAUUUGAAAUCUGGCCCUCGGGUCCGAAUUGUAAUUUGCAGAGGAUGCUUUUGGUUAGGUACUUUCCGAGUUCCCUGGAACGGGACGCCUUAGAGGGUGAGAGCCCCGUACGGUUGGAUACCGAGCCUUUGUAAAGCUCCUUCGACGAGUCGAGUAGUUUGGGAAUGCUGCUCUAAAUGGGAGGUAAAUUUCUUCUAAAGCUAAAUACCGGCCAGAGACCGAUAGCGCACAAGUAGAGUGAUCGAAAGAUGAAAAGCACUUUGAAAAGAGGGUUAAAUAGCACGUGAAAUUGUUGAAAGGGAAGCGUUUAUGACCAGACUUUUUCCAGGCGGAUCAUCCGGUGUUCUCACCGGUGCACUUCGUCUGGUUGAGGCCAGCAUCGGUUUUCGUAGAGGGAUAAAAGCUUUAGGAAUGUGGUUCCCCCGGGAAUGUUAUAGCCUAUUGUAUAAUACCUUUAUGGGGACCGAGG